GUCCAGGGGCGGGAAUCGAACCCACACCCUUCUGCUUACCGGGCAGGUGCCUUCUAUACUCGGCUACCCUGGA
This 73-nucleotide transfer RNA is filed under the name Cordylochernes scorpioides. Its description in RNAcentral is "tRNA-Thr". Lineage: Eukaryota; Metazoa; Arthropoda; Arachnida; Pseudoscorpiones; Chernetidae. The record is from RNAcentral.